Molecule: ribosomal RNA, 521 nt
Filed under: uncultured bacterium
Lineage: Bacteria
Description: bacterial SSU rRNA
Rfam family: Archaeal small subunit ribosomal RNA
Source: RNAcentral
AACCUCCGCAAUGUGAGAAAUCGCGACGGGGGGAUCCCAAGUGCCAUUCUUAACGGGAUGGCUUUUCAUUAGUGUAAAGAGCUUUUGGAAUAAGAGCUGGGCAAGACCGGUGCCAGCCGCCGCGGUAACACCGGCAGCUCUAGUGGUAACAAUUUUUAUUGGGCCUAAAGCGUCCGUAGCCGGUUUAAUAAGUCUCUGGUGAAAUCCUGUAGCUUAGCUGUGGGAAUUGCUGGAGAUACUAUUAGACUUGAGACCGGGAGAGGUUAGAGGUACUCCCAGGGUAGAGGUGAAAUUCUGUAAUCCUGGGAGGACCGCCUGUUGCGAAGGCGUCUAACUGGAACGGUUCUGACGGUGAGGGACGAAAGUUAGGGGCGCGAACCGGAUUAGAUACCCGGGUAGUCCUAACUGUAAACGAUGCGGACUUGGUGUUGGGGUGGCUUUGAGCUGCUUCAGUGCCGAAGGGAAGCUGUUAAGUCCGCCGCCUGGGAAGUACGGUCGAAAGACUGAAACUUAAAAGGAAG